This is a small nuclear RNA of Camelus dromedarius (Arabian camel), 99 nucleotides long. NCBI's taxonomy places the organism in Eukaryota, Metazoa, Chordata, Mammalia, Artiodactyla, Camelidae. The record is from Ensembl.
UCACUUUGGCAGCAGGUAUACUAAGAUUGGAAUGAUGCAGAGAUUAGCCUGGCCCCAGGCAAGGACGACACACAGAUUCAUGAAGCGUUCCAUAUUUUU